GCCCAACUAGCUCAGUCGGUAGAGCAUGGAACUCUUAAUAGCAGGGUCGUGGGUUCAUGUCCCANGUUAGGUG
Molecule: transfer RNA, 73 nt
Filed under: Neotoma lepida (desert woodrat)
Lineage: Eukaryota; Metazoa; Chordata; Mammalia; Rodentia; Cricetidae
Rfam family: tRNA
About the family: Transfer RNA (tRNA) molecules are approximately 80 nucleotides in length. Their secondary structure includes four short double-helical elements and three loops (D, anti-codon, and T loops).
Source: Rfam by way of RNAcentral